AGAGAGAGAGAGAGAGAGAGAGAGAGAGAUGGCGGGAGUGGGUGGUGCUGUAGGAGUACUGAUAUUGGACGAGUCUGUACUUUUGGGGCUGAUGAAGCAAAGCAAGACUUCCAAGAGACUGUAUGAACUAGAAUUUGGACUCCGUAUGUAUCGUACGGUCAUUUAAAUUGUUGACUAGGAUGGUUUUACUUUAGUUUCUAACUUUGCCAAAGCAUGAACAAGACUUGCGAGACACCCUGCAAUUCCUUUUCCUCUUAGGUAACGCUUUUCAGUUCUGGGUUUCUUGAAUGUUUGAUCAUGUUUUCCUUUUUAUCUAUGCUAGUUGGAAUCCAGAAAUUGAAUCAUUUGCUUCAAUUGGGUAAUCCGUAAUUGUCAUCAUAAAAUUUGAUUUGUUGUAUGUUGAGGCUCUGUGAUUAUAUGGGUGUUGUACUUCAUUAAACUUACUGUCUAUUUUUAUUUUUGUUUUCAUUAUACUUCAUGUGUUUGCCCCUUUUCUACAACUUGGCAGACGGAUGGAGAGAGA
Prunus dulcis (almond) is the source of this 523-nucleotide long non-coding RNA. RefSeq lists it as uncharacterized. The transcript has 3 exons. The record is from RefSeq and is a predicted model, not a curated record. Lineage: Eukaryota; Viridiplantae; Streptophyta; Magnoliopsida; Rosales; Rosaceae.